This 4580-nucleotide long non-coding RNA is filed under the name Mytilus galloprovincialis (Mediterranean mussel). The record is from RNAcentral. Lineage: Eukaryota; Metazoa; Mollusca; Bivalvia; Mytilida; Mytilidae.
UGCAGGUUAGUAACGUGUCUUUAAUGAUUAUGUGUUGUGGGGCAGGUGUUAUUUAAUGAACUCCCGAAAACUUCCGAAUUAAAAGUAAAUUUUCCUUAAGGGGUAUACAUCGGUAAUUGUGUAUCUAGAUCUUUCAUAGCCAUAUACAGCAAAUAUUCCAUGAAAGGAUAUGAACGUAAAAGGGACGUACUCUUUGGGGCGAAUGACCCAGGUUCGUAACCGGAAGUUCAACUUUCGAUACAAAUAAACAAAAAUCUUGGAAAUCUUGAACAGAGACCAUACCCGGAGUUAAGAAGCAGUAGCCAAAAGAAAUCAUUGCUAAAUGUUAGCUUGCUGGUGGAUUUAAGCAAACAUUAUCAUUAUCUGUGUAUAUCCGGCUAUAAAUUUUGCGUGUACCUACACAUUUGUGUACUAAAAACUGUCAAGAGUCGUUCAUCACAGUGACAUGUAUACAUUUUUUAGUUGCUACUACUCUCUAGCCUAGACUAGGUCGAUAUGGUAUGAAUAGUUCCGUUAAAUCAAGAAUUUAGCCAUAUGUCAACAGGCCACAGCUUGAAUUAUUGUUGUAAUAACUCAAUUAUAUACAAAUAUUACACUAUGUUACUAUCAACUGACUAUGGAUUUAAGUUUAAUAAAUAUAUAAAUCUGUAAAUAUACUAAUUUUGAAUUAUUAUUUUUUUUAAAUUAUUUGUAACUAUUAUCGACACAACUACAUGUAUGAGUAUACAUAAUUUUUUAUUGUUAUUGUUUCUUUGUACAGUCAUUUGGUUUUGUUAUGUCAAUGCUAUGUAGCAUGGUGGAACUAAUAUUUACUUUUUGUUGAGUUGUAGCACAAUGUUGGGAAGAUCAGUUAGAGUCCUUGCUCGGCCACAGAACACGGCCAAGGGUUGUAACAGUUGGACAAGAGACUUAGACAACAAGGACACACCAGUUUUUACAGAUGGGUCACCAGACUGGACUGGAUUCACGACUCAUCACGCCACUAACUCAACUCCUUUGGUCACAUACAUUUGUACAUUGGAUCAUCAUCAGACGUUAUUUAUGCAAACCCCUAGAGCUCUGCAUUAGUAUGAUCCAGUUGAGAAUUUAUCAGGUAAUCGUCAGAUUUACUAGUUAAAAGCAGUAUUUACUUUUAAGUUAAACCCCUCAUGUACAAAAUGUACAUGUGAUUCCAACAUAUAACAAACAUAUUUAUAAAGAUUAAGACAACUUUUUCUAAUCUUAUGGGUUAGAUUGAAAAGAUUUGUGCAACGUUUAUAUCUCAGUUUCUAAACUUAAAAUCCAUAAAAUUGCUGAAUGUGUUACUUUUACAAAUUUAUAUGGCCAUAACAUGAUGGGAUGCCGCAUCAUGUGUUUGAAAUAAAAAACAUUCGUAAAUAUGAGGUUACAAUUAUAUAUAAUUGUUAUAUAAAUAUAUUACAUGUGAAACUUUUAAAUGUUGUUUGGUAUAUUAUCACAUUUUGAAUGGAGGACGCUACCGAUUUAUUUAAACUAUAAUUAUAAUAUUUAUCUUGUUUAAUAAUCUGAAUAUUAAAAAUCAGAUAUGCAUGUACGGCAUGAAUACAGAUUUUGCAAUAAAGUACCACAAUUUAAAGGACAAAAUUUAUAGAAGUCUAUAUUUAUUGAACUUUUCAUUAUUAUUGAUUUUUUAUAUAUAUAUCUUAAGGGAAAAAAGGGGCCAAAUGGUUUUAUCUUGUAACCAACUUUUAAAAUGAGACUACUAUUACAAGUUUUGUGUAAUUUAAAUUUGUCGUCGCAGUUAAACGGAUAUAUACAUGUAUGUACAUGUAAUAUUAGCAAAUCUAGUACAAACUAAGUAAUUAUUUACAGCUUGUCUUGCAGUCUGCUCCACCGUUAAAAAUCUUUAGUAUUUAGGUGUCGACAGCAGCUUUAAUUUAUAUAUAUACUAGAAUGUAUUGUAAUCUUCAUCCUGGGAGAUUCUAGGAGUUGCGCAAUUUAUGAGUAUCGUACGCUGUAUGUUUAGGUGCCAGUUUGUUUUUUAGGCUGGAAGUUUAUGAGGAACUUUUCAUUUGCAUAAAAAUCAUUGGCCCUACUGGUUGCUUGGCAACAGUUGAUUCCAAAUUAUGGUUGUUAUUUACUAAUGAAAAUUAUAGUACAGGUUGAAUUUCAGUUAGCAUGAACGCUGGGACUAUUUGAAAUGUUAUGCUUUUUAAAUUAUGAGGGUAUCUAGAUGUUGUUAAGCACUUGUUUGUGUUUUGUUUUUUUGUGUAACACAGGUCAUCCUUUAUAACUUUUGGAUGUCCUAACAGGUAACUUUAACCAUGUUUACUUUGCAUAAUCUAGGCCUUCUUGUGAUAUCCAAGUUCAAAUCACCUAGUCCUUUAAUGGAAAUAAGUGUUUUUUUGGGCAACCUGGUUCAAACCCAAGACGAGAGAGAGAACGAGUGGUUGCUGCUGUUAUACUAAAUGUUUGUUUCUGCUUACAUGGAUUUAGACUCUAGUAUAGGGUUCUCAUAGUCAUUCUUUUAAUUUGCGUUUGCCUGAGUUGAUCCAGUUAUUCUUGCUUUGUAUUUAUGGGCGUUUACAUUAUAAGAAUUUCACCUCUACAUAGACAUCUUACACAUUCAGGUAUUGACCAUCCAAUCUUUUAUGGUAAUACACUUUACAACGGACAAAUGUCAGCUUUUACCUCAAAAACUAACAAAACAUAAAAGCAACUUAUAUAAAGUAGGGAUACUGUUGCCUGCAUAUAUACGGCUUAUUUUGGCUUCAAUAUUGAUUCACUUGCACAUCUUUGCAUCGGACUAAAACUCCUUUAUUUUUAAACCAGUUGCAGGUAUGAUAAGAGUUAUGUUUCUCUAAUAUAUUUUAUGAUGAUAUGAUAUUAAACCCCAUGACGGGAUGGUGCUAGAUAUUUCGUAUAUUGAAUACAUAGUUUUUCGACCAGUUAAAUUGAGGUCUGGAGCUGGCAUGUCGGUAACUGUUAGUAGUAGUAGUCCGUUGUUGAUUUAUGUAAUAUCGUCAUUUUCAAUUUUUUUGUUUUUGUUUGAUUUGUUACCUAUUCUGAUAUUGGACUCUGACUUCUUUAAACUGUGUGAUUUUUUCUAUGCGUAUUGCUGUGCGUUUGUUUCUUCUUCAUUUGGUUGAGAUUUUAAAAACUUGUUUAACCCCUCGGCAUUUUAGUAUCUGUUCCAAGUCUGGGGCCUCUGGCCUAUGUAAGUUUGGUAUGAACUUUUUUUUUUAGAUUAGAGUUUAGUAUGACAUUCAUUAUCACUGAUCUGGUCCAAAUUUUCAUUAUGACUGAAGCCAUUUCUGGUUUUUAGAGGGAUUGCUUCAGAUGCUUGGUCCCAACUGCAGAUGUUUAUCCUGCUAUUACCCCAAGUGAAUUUAUUACUGUUAUUUCAGACCUUUAGUAACCGUUUAUUUGUAAGUUCCACACCACCCAGUACAUACAGAUGUAUCAGAGAGGACAGUCUUUCUUUUUUUCAUGAGUUCGGUUCUCUAGUUGAUUUAUUGAAUACAUUUCCUAUCUCUUUAUGAAUUGUUAAGGUAUUGCUUACUUGUACAUUUUGUAUCUCUCUCAACAAAAAUUGUGACAUUACUAAUUUAUAUAGAUUGGAUAUUUUUUUUAGUAAUUUAAUGAUGUGUCAAAAUUGAGGUUUGAGUUUUUAAGAAGGUAUUAAACACUCCAGGCCUUUACAUUUACCACAACCAGAGUCAUGCUGAAGUCUAGCAAUAUUUUCUUAUCUUGUGUUGGUUAUACUUGGUAUGAAUUCAGUGUAUUUGAAGCUGUCCUUUCAAUUGUUUUUGGACGAUUAUUAAAAGGGUUGGAGAUCCAAUACUGACACUUAAUACAGGGUUUUACAGAGAAUUAUUAUUUUUCUUGAUUUAUUAUGCUUUAAAUUGUAUUCGUAUUACUAUGUAACAUAUACUUCCAUGUAGCUAUUUGCCGUACAAGAAUUGUAGGAGAUCCUAUUAGCUUUAAUGUUUGAUGUUUGAAUAGUAGAAUCCUCAAUAGUAAGUAUGUUUUUGUAGCAGACUGACAUCCUCCAGAUGGGGUUGACUUAGGUCUAGGCACGGAAAUGAAUUUUUGUGGUGGCAUAUUUGUCGCAUGUUAAAAGUUAACUCAGAAUAUAUAAUGAAACUAUGAGGAUCCAACAUAUUUUUAAUAAACUUGUAGCAGGUAAUGACACAGGUAGUUCUAGAGUGGGUCUUUGCACAAUGAGAUGAAGAACAUGAUCAGAUGGAUUGUGAGAUUCAUCAUUCUUAAGUAAGUAAGGAUGGUCUCAAAUUUGACCAAUGCAAACAUGGACGUGUGCUGCUAUAGAAUUUACAACUAUUUAUUGCCUUUAUAAUUAGCUGUCAGGGUUGCUACAUAAAAUAUUAUGAUUUUCGAUCAUCAACUGGAUGUUUUUCACUUGUCACCCUUAACCUGCUUAUGAAAUGAAUUCUUAAACAUCUUUAAUAUUAUUUGUUGAUAUACUAUAAUAUACUAUAUUUUAUGAUAUACAAAUACAAUCAACUAUCUUAUGGUUUGCUGUAGUUUUGGUAAGUAUUUUUAUCUGUGUAGGUAAAUAUGUUUUGAACAGUUGUUCACAAAACAUCAUCUAGAUUAUUUAA